CCCUUAGAUGUUCUGGGCUGCACGCGCGCUACACUGAUACUUUCAGCGAGUCCACCACCUUGCCUGGGAAGGUGGGGUAACCUCUGGAAAGUGCAUCGUGAUGGGGAUCGAUUAUUGUAAUUAUUAAUCUUCAACGAGGAAUUCCUAGUAAGCAUGUGUCAUCAGCCCGUGCUGAUUACGUCCCUGCCCUUUGUACACACCGCCCGUCGCUCCUACCGAUUGAAUGUUCCGGUGAGCUCUUCGGACUGCGCGGUCUGCAGUUUCUGCGUUCCGUGCGGAAAGUUGCGCAAACCUUAACAUUUAGAGGAAGGAGAAGUCGUAACA
RNAcentral lists this ribosomal RNA (324 nucleotides) under uncultured eukaryote. RNAcentral describes it as "partial 18S ribosomal RNA". It matches the Rfam family "Eukaryotic small subunit ribosomal RNA", at positions 1470 to 1796 of the family's 1831-position model. The record is from RNAcentral.